UACAGAGGUGCCGAGCGUUAGGCGGAAUCACUGGGCUUAAAGCGUGUGUAGGCGGGUCCGUAAGUACCUUGUGAAAUCCCACGGCUCAACCGUGGAACUGCUCGGUAUACUGCGGGUCUUGAGCUGUCUAGGGGCGCCGGAACAAGCGGAUGGAGCGGUGAAAUGCGUAGAUAUCGACUUGGAACGCCAGUGGUGAAAACGGGGUCGCUGGGGGACAUGCUGACGCUGAGACACGAAAGCCAGGGGAGCAAACGGG
Molecule: ribosomal RNA, 256 nt
Filed under: uncultured bacterium
Lineage: Bacteria
Description: partial 16S ribosomal RNA
Rfam family: Bacterial small subunit ribosomal RNA
Source: RNAcentral